GAGGGUGCAUCGAACCAUCAAGUUACGUGCGCACCAACGCCACCCAGGACCGGAUCAUCGCCCCCUACCGACCAAGGUACCGCCAACACAGAAUCUUUACAGCCGCUACCUGAGACCCACAACUAAUGGGAUUUUCGGAAAGACGGAAG
This is a long non-coding RNA of Bufo bufo (common toad), 149 nucleotides long. RefSeq lists it as uncharacterized. The record is from RefSeq and is a predicted model, not a curated record. The transcript has 3 exons. Lineage: Eukaryota; Metazoa; Chordata; Amphibia; Anura; Bufonidae.